Molecule: ribosomal RNA, 925 nt
Filed under: uncultured fungus
Lineage: Eukaryota; Fungi
Description: LSU rRNA
Rfam family: Eukaryotic large subunit ribosomal RNA
Source: RNAcentral
AUUCCUCAGUAACGGCGAGUGAAGCGGUAACAGCUCAAAUUUGAAAUCUGGCCGCAAGGUCCGAGUUGUAAUUUGUAGAGGAUGUUUCGAGCAUGGUCCGGCCUAAGUUCCUUGGAACAGGACGUCAUAGAGGGUGAGAAUCCCGUAUGCGGCCGGGUGCCUACGCUCAUGUGAAACUCCUUCGACGAGUCGAGUUGUUUGGGAAUGCAGCUCAAAAUGGGUGGUAAAUUCCAUCUAAAGCUAAAUAUUGGCCAGAGACCGAUAGCGCACAAGUAGAGUGAUCGAAAGAUGAAAAGCACUUUGGAAAGAGAGUUAAACAGUACGUGAAAUUGUUGAAAGGGAAGCGCUUGCAACCAGACUUGCGCGCGGCUGAUCAUCCGGGCUUCUGCCCGGUGCACUCGGUCGCGCUCAGGCCAGCAUCGGUUUUGGUGGCGGGAUAAAGGCCUUGGGAAUGUAGCUCCUCUCGGGGAGUGUUAUAGCCCAGGGUGCAAUGCCGCCUACCGGGACCGAGGACCGCGCUUCGGCUAGGAUGCUGGCGUAAUGGUUGUAAGCGACCCGUCUUGAAACACGGACCAAGGAGUCUAACAUCUAUGCGAGUGUUUGGGUGUCAAACCCAUACGCGUAAUGAAAGUGAACGGAGGUGAGAACCCUUAAGGGUGCAUCAUCGACCGAUCCUGAUGUCUUCGGAUGGAUUUGAGUAAGAGCAUAGCUGUUGGGACCCGAAAGAUGGUGAACUAUGCCUGAAUAGGGUGAAGCCAGAGGAAACUCUGGUGGAGGCUCGCAGCGGUUCGGACGUGCAAAUCGAUCGUCAAAUUUGGGUAUAGGGGCGAAAGACUAAUCGAACCAUCUAGUAGCUGGUUCCUGCCGAAGUUUCCCUCAGGAUAGCAGUGUUGAAUUCAGUUUUAUGAGGUAAAGCGAAUGAUUA